AAAGAGUCGAACCUGCCCAAUGAUAUAUAUUCAAUGGCCGCGGUACUCUGACCGUGCAAAGGUAGCAUAAUCAUUUGCCUUAUAAUUGAAGGCUUGUAUGAAUGGUUUGACGAAAACAAAGCUGUCUCUUCUUAAUUUUAUAAAACUUGAUUUUUAGGUGAAGAAGCCUAAAUAAAAUUGAAAGACAAGAAGACCCUAUCGAGCUUUAAAAAUUUUUAUUAAUAUAAAAUGACUAACAAUUGAUCAGAUAUAAUAGAAAAUUUUAGUUGGGGCGACUAAGGAACAAGAAAGCUUCCAUUUUGAUAUUAAAGCAGAUCAGCUAUGAUCCAAAAAUUUUGAUUAAAAGAAUUAGUUACCGUAGGGAUAACAGCAUAAUCUUUUUUGAGAGUUCUUAUCGAAAAAAAGGUUUGUGACCUCGAUGUUGGACUAGAAUAUCCUAAAUGAUGCAGAAGUCUUUAAGGGUUGGUCUGUUCGACC
This 477-nucleotide ribosomal RNA is filed under the name Jardinella tumorosa. RNAcentral describes it as "partial 16S ribosomal RNA". It matches the Rfam family "Bacterial large subunit ribosomal RNA", at positions 1847 to 2586 of the family's 2925-position model. Lineage: Eukaryota; Metazoa; Mollusca; Gastropoda; Littorinimorpha; Tateidae. The record is from RNAcentral.